RNAcentral lists this ribosomal RNA (247 nucleotides) under uncultured bacterium. RNAcentral's name for it is "partial 16S ribosomal RNA". It matches the Rfam family "Bacterial small subunit ribosomal RNA", at positions 355 to 619 of the family's 1533-position model. The record is from RNAcentral.
UGGGGAAUAUUGCACAAUGGGCGAAAGCCUGAUGCAGCAACGCCGCGUGAGUGAUGAAGGUCUUCGGAUUGUAAAGCUCUGUCUUUUGGGACGAUAAUGACGGUACCAAAGGAGGAAGCCACGGCUAACUACGUGCCAGCAGCCGCGGUAAUACGUAGGUGGCGAGCGUUGUCCGGAUUUACUGGGCGUAAAGGGUGCGUAGGCGGAUGUUUAAGUGAGAUGUGAAAUACCCGGGCUUAACUUGGGU